This 181-nucleotide ribosomal RNA is filed under the name uncultured bacterium. Its description in RNAcentral is "partial 16S ribosomal RNA". It matches the Rfam family "Bacterial small subunit ribosomal RNA", at positions 1319 to 1500 of the family's 1533-position model. The record is from RNAcentral.
CAUGAAGCUGGAAUUGCUAGUAAUCGCGGAUCAGCAAGCCGCGGUGAAUACGUUCCCGGGCCUUGUACACACCGCCCGUCACACCAUGAGAGUCGGGAACACCCGAAGUCCGUAGUCUAACCGCAAGGGGGCGCGGCCGAAGGUGGGUCCGGUAAUUGGGGUGAAGUCGUAACAAGGUAUC